AUUGAACGCUGGCGGCAGGCCUAACACAUGCAAGUCGAGCGGAUGAAGGGAGCUUGCUCCUGGAUUCAGCGGCGGACGGGUGAGUAAUGCCUAGGAAUCUGCCUGGUAGUGGGGGAUAACGUCCGGAAACGGGCGCUAAUACCGCAUACGUCCUGAGGGAGAAAGUGGGGGAUCUUCGGACCUCACGCUAUCAGAUGAGCCUAGGUCGGAUUAGCUAGUUGGUGGGGUAAAGGCCUACCAAGGCGACGAUCCGUAACUGGUCUGAGAGGAUGAUCAGUCACACUGGGGCUGAGACACGGUCCAGACUCCUACGGGAGGCAGCAGUGGGGAAUAUUGGACAAUGGGCGAAAGCCUGAUCCAGCCAUGCCGCGUGUGUGAAGAAGGUCUUCGGAUUGUAAAGCACUUUAAGUUGGGAGGAAGGGCAGUAAGUUAAUACCUUGCUGUUUUGACGUUACCAACAGAAUAAGCACCGGCUAACUUCGUG
This 484-nucleotide ribosomal RNA is filed under the name uncultured bacterium. RNAcentral describes it as "partial 16S ribosomal RNA". It matches the Rfam family "Bacterial small subunit ribosomal RNA", at positions 30 to 507 of the family's 1533-position model. The record is from RNAcentral.